Molecule: long non-coding RNA, 886 nt
Filed under: Rattus norvegicus (Norway rat)
Lineage: Eukaryota; Metazoa; Chordata; Mammalia; Rodentia; Muridae
Description: long non-coding RNA NONRATT005983
Source: RNAcentral
GAGCUGUACCAAAGGAGACCAAGUCAGAUUCAGCCUUGAAUGCUCAUGUCUCCAAAAAGCCUGCUCCUGCCAAAGCCAAGAACAGUCGCAAGAGGAAGCCAUCUUCUUCUGACAGCUCGGACUCUGAGUUUGAGAAGGCGAUUUCUAAAGGUGCCACAAGCAAGGUAUUUAUCACUGCUUACUCAUCCGCCCUAGGUGUCUGUCCUACGUAGGUUUUGCUCUUAAUUUUCCAUAUUUUUAAGGAAGUAAAUUUUAAACCUCAGAGUUCAUUCCCAUUUCGCUGUAGGAGGUUUAAUCUGUCAGUCAUUUGCUGUGGACCUUUUCCUCACUACUUAGUAGAAGGUGGGGAGUGACCCCAGAGCCCUGGGAGCUGCCCCUGUGCAUUAACCACGGGAAAUUACUUGGAUUUUCUCUUUUUAGAAACCCAAGGGAGAGGAGCGGGAUUUCCAUGUGGACUUAGAUGACACUGUGGCUCCUCGAGCAAAAUCCGGACGAGCAAGGAAGCCGAUUAAGUACCUGGAGGAGUCGGAUGACGACCUCUUCUAAGGGGUGAGGGGAUUUCAGGAAUGGUUUUACUGAGCCACGUUAGUUUUAAAGUUCUUCCUUAACCACUCUGAAUUUAAUUGGAGGAAGACUUUUUUUUAAAUAAGAAUAUGCAAGUGAGCAGGGCCCCUGUGGCCUUCACCUUUGUUCUCAACAUACUGUCAGUAGUGGCCGUCUCGUGGGCAUUGUCGUCUUCUCUGAUUGUCUGUUUUAUGUCUGUUUUCUUUGGUCUCUGAAACCUGGCUUGAAUAUUUUUUGGAUUCCACAUAAUUAUAUGCUUACUCAGCACAGUAGCAUUUAUCAAUUUAAACUAAAGUGGAAAUGGUUUCAAAAGCAUUCCUGC